Molecule: ribosomal RNA, 909 nt
Filed under: uncultured Verrucomicrobiaceae bacterium
Lineage: Bacteria; Pseudomonadati; Verrucomicrobiota; Verrucomicrobiia; Verrucomicrobiales; Verrucomicrobiaceae
Description: bacterial SSU rRNA
Rfam family: Bacterial small subunit ribosomal RNA
Source: RNAcentral
UGCAGUCGCACGGGACUAUUUGAGUAGCAAUACAAGAAUAGUUUAGUGGCGCACGGGUGAGUAACACGUGAAUUACAUGCCCUGCAGAGGGGGAUAGCCCAGGGAAACUUGGAUUAAUACCCCAUGGUAUCGCAAGAUUAAAGGUGGCCGCAAGGCUGUCGCUGCAGGAUUGGUUCGCGCCCUAUCAGCUUGUUGGUGAGGUAACGGCUCACCAAGGCUACGACGGGUACCUGGUCUGAGAGGACGAUCAGGCACACUGGAACUGAGACACGGUCCAGACACCUACGGGUGGCAGCAGUCGAGAAUAAUUCACAAUGGGGGCAACCCUGAUGGUGCAACGCCGCGUGGAGGAUGAAGGUCUUCGGAUUGUAAACUCCUGUCAUCCGGGAGUAAAACCUGGCGAUGAAUAGUCGACAGGGUUGAUAGUACCGGAAGAGGAAGGGACGGCUAACUUCGUGCCAGCAGCCGCGGUAAUACGAAGGUCCCGAGCGUUGUUCGGAAUCACUGGGCGUAAAGGGAGCGUAGGCGGCGUGGUAAGUCAGAUGUGAAAUCCCGGGGCUCAACCCCGGAACUGCAUCCGAUACUGCCGUGCUAGAGGAUUGGAGAGGUAGCUGGAAUUCACGGUGUAGCAGUGAAAUGCGUAGAUAUCGUGAGGAACACUCGUGGCGAAAGCGAGCUACUGGACAACUCCUGACGCUGAGGCUCGAAGGCCAGGGUAGCGAAAGGGAUUAGAUACCCCUGUAGUCCUGGCAGUAAACGGUGCACGCUUGGUGUGAGGGGAAUCGACCCCCCUUGUGCCGGAGCAAACGCGUUAAGCGUGCCGCCUGGGAAGUACGGUCGCAAGACUAAAACUCAAAGAAAUUGACGGGGACCCGCACAAGCGGUGGAGUAUGUGGCUUAAUUCGAUGC